UCCUCUGAGGCUGCUCGAGUUGCUCUUCAGUGCUUCAAGGGGGAAGAAAGACCAGAAAAAUAAUAAGGCUUUGUAUGAGUGGUUUAGGGGACUGUGGUCAUCCCUGUCACCAUGGAGCUGCUCAUAGAAUCAGGCACACAAGGACAAAGCAACGAGUAAGGAGAAUGGAGGAGAAUUCAGUACACAUUUGAUAUUGAACAGGAAGGGUCUCCAUGGUGGACUUCUGAGCAGCCAUAGAAACAGUAUUUAGGUCUGGAUACAAAGGAAAUAUUAUGCCCCGAUUAAUUUUCUGCAUCGCUGAAAUGGAGCUUCUGUCAAACGGGGAAGGCAGACAUUGCUGAUGCUGAAGAGCCAUCCCAGAACCAAGCCUGCAGCACUGUUUGGGAACAAAAGGAUGUCUAAAUUGUUUAGCAAGAUUCAUUAACACCACGACAGCCCCACUGCUGACUGAGAGCUUCCAAUGGCCACUUCACAGAGCAGCCAUCCUGAAACGAGCUGAGUCAGUGAGAAAAGGCAAGGGCUGAGGCACCCCUAACUCCAGGAGAGCAGCAGGCAUUAUAAAGAAGGAAAACAUUUUUCAUUUUUAUGAGGAAUAAGGAAGUGGAGAACGCGUAGAGCUUCACAACGAUGUGGUAAUGGUGUCCUAACACUCAAAACGUUUGUGGAGAAGGUACUUCUGAAACACUGUCCUGGUCACCAAAGGGGGAAGCAAAGUGCCUGGCUCCACAUGAAGUAAAGGUUUAAAUUAGAGACUGGCAAAGCUUCCUAAUGAAGAAUACUUAAUCAGUGAACCUGGCUGCUAAGGGAAGCUGUAAAAUGUAAGUUCUAAAGGACCAAUUAGACUAACACCUGUCUGAAAGGAGCACAGCAGGAUUCUGCCUCCUUGCAGCAAAAAUGGACUUAAAGCCACUAUCAUAUUGCAGUGCUCCUGAACCUCACUCACAUUCAAAAAUCUCAUUUUUCUAUGAACGUAUAUCCCCACACUGUAAGGAGGUCCUCCAAACUCAGCUGCUUCCAGCACGUUUCACUUGUACAGCAGUAGUCUGUCUGAAAAAUAACAAUUGUAAAUCUACAUCUUGUCAGAUCGAAGUCCUCUUAUAACCAAGUCAUGAGGAUUAAAGUUAGCUUCAUUCUUCUGAGUAGAGCAUCCCUCCCGAGGGAAAAAGAUGCACUGUGACUUGUGAGCUGGUACUGCAUCUGAGCUCACUUAGGGAAAUCUCACUCCUAUAACCUUCUUCAUGUAGCAGAGGGGUUUGAGGAUGAAGAUCCUUGAGGAGAGGGGCGGAUUAUUUCCCUGCAGCUCUCAGUGAGGUACACAAAGUUUUUCCCUAAAGUUUCCUAACCUGACUGAUUUGGUUUCCUGGUGCAUUGCAUGAGCAGUGUGGACAUGCAGUUCACAAUUCUGGGUUUCCAUCCAGAAGCCAGGAUCCUUCACACCACACUCAGCGCUGCUUCCCAGGCCUCCAAAUCAUUGCCUGCAUUCUUAGUCAAGAGUUACAAGAAUGAUAACGGGCACUGUAAGUCAGCAGUACCCCCUUCAAUAAGAUAAAGCAGCUGUGUUGGCUCUGGAGUAGCUUAACUUUAGACUUUGAGUAUGAUGAAUUAUUGUUUAAGGAGAUGCAUUCGUAAUUCUGUUCCUCCCAAGCAGGUGGUUGAUAUUUUGAGAUCCCUGCUGUAUCAGCACUGUGUAUAUUUGGCAUAGAAACUGCAUGAAUAUUACAAAUUCUAUAUUUAAUUGAGUCUCAUAAUGAAACCCUGUAAAUCAUAGUCAGCCCAUCGAACUAAACAGGAAAUUGAUAUGUUGAGGUGUUAAAUAAUGUUGUUUUUUCCACCCCUCCAGGUUAGGCAAAACUUGAUCGCUUCCCUAAGAAGGCAAAAACGAUGGCAGAGUCAGACAUAGUUGAUGUAGUUCUUUAUCUGAAAGUAACAUGAAAACCCUCAUUCCUAACAAAAAUACUGAGUAAUGUGAUGGAGCACCUUUACCUACAACAGCUUCCCUGGGUCAGGUCUCUGUCAGAGCACAGUGCCAACUUCUUGUUCAGGACACACCCUAAGCUUCCCUACUUGUUUUUCACCUUCCUCAAAAUAUUGCUGAUUCCUUCUUACAAGUAUUUUGGCAAAAAAAAAAAA
Molecule: non-coding RNA, 2130 nt
Organism: Phasianus colchicus (ring-necked pheasant)
Lineage: Eukaryota; Metazoa; Chordata; Aves; Galliformes; Phasianidae
Source: RefSeq, a predicted model, not a curated record